CAUGAGGCUGCUUUUUUUGGCUUGGACUUCCUGACAUCAAAAAGGCCUUGUGAGUCAUUUGCUUUCUUUAGGCCCCGAGUUCCUCAUCGCUGCCAAGAGAGAGCCAAGCAAGAUGAUCUCUAAGUCCCAUCCCUGGUCCCCAAACUCUCAGUUCUAUGUCCUGUGAAGACAUCAUGACACCACAAUGCCCAGUGGACUGCAAGGCCCCAGGUGAAGUCUGCCCUGCUCUGUACGUGGCCGGGGGAGCUGGAAGCUGUGAGGAGGCUGGAGCUCAUGUCCAGCUCUGCCACCCACUUGUUCUUCUGUUUAUGAGUGACUUGGUCUCUCUCUGUGCCUCAGUCUCCCCCCAGCUACUGGCUCCUUCCUGUGCGGGGCAGGGUUUAGACUGGCACACAAGGGUCCUCCUGGGCUGUCGCCCACAUUAGACCCCCCUGUACAUUGGAAUUCCAGGAAACUACCUUCAAAAACAAACACACAGGGAGAUAGGGGAGUUGCCUACAAGUCAGGAGAGCCAUGUUUCCCCACUGCCCACACCAGAGACACACCCUCCUCCACCUAACAGCUCAGACCGUGGUCCCAGUCCCAACACUUAGGGCCAUCCGGUGACCCUGAGCAAAUCGUCUAGACUCAGAGUCCUCACCCAUAAAACAGGGGCUCUGUGAGAGCCAAAUCAGAUGCCGUAGCUCAGGGCAGAGCACGGAGUGAAUAGAUGCUCAGGAGAUGGGGCUGCAGUUAGGGCUGGGCCAUGCCUGCCUGGAUGGGCAGGCAAGGACCUGGUUCCUCUUCCUGCUUUGGCCUCCACAACAGCUCCGUUUUACCAGCAACUGGGACUCACUGGGGGCCAGGGGAAUUCAGGGAUUCUUUUAAAGGGUAUAUUUGGGUGGGAGGAGCUACAUGUCUCUGCCUCACUAGGGAGGGGAGAUGGGACUCGGCUGGGACUCAAGCUUCGGCUUAGUUAUCAGCAAUGGUGCUACAAACACCAGCAAACUAGGACCAGGUGAUUUCCUGGUCAGCAAACAAGACCUCCUAAACAUUUCUGAGUAGCAGCUGCCACCCCCAAGGUCCCAUUCUGAAAGGAAUGCUUUGAAUUUCAGGAGCCUACUCCUCUCUCCCCCAAAAUUGGUUGUGGGUAUCGGAGCUAUGAUGUCAUCAGAGCCUUGGUGAUUUGCCUCCUACGGCGGUGGAUGGGAGAGCUUGACCCAGUCUACGGACACCCCCUAGCUGGGGGCUCUCUUCUUAUUCCAACACGCAGCGUCCCGUGGAAGCACCACGCUGAUUUACCCCCGGAGUGGGCAGGGUUUCCAUGGAUGGAGAUCAUCAAGGGCUGACAUUCCAGAAUCACCAACUUCUCAUGAUUUGUGAUAGAAAGAACAUUUAACACCAAAAGUAAAAGUAUAAAGAGCAAGAUCUAACAAUACAG
Molecule: long non-coding RNA, 1420 nt
Organism: Canis lupus familiaris (dog)
Lineage: Eukaryota; Metazoa; Chordata; Mammalia; Carnivora; Canidae
Exons: 3
Source: RefSeq, a predicted model, not a curated record